Molecule: ribosomal RNA, 301 nt
Filed under: uncultured bacterium
Lineage: Bacteria
Description: partial 16S ribosomal RNA
Rfam family: Bacterial small subunit ribosomal RNA
Source: RNAcentral
CAGCAGCCGCGGUAAUACGUAGGUGGCAAGCGUUGUCCGGAAUUAUUGGGCGUAAAGGGCUCGCAGGCGGUUUCUUAAGUCUGAUGUGAAAGCCCCCGGCUCAACCGGGGAGGGUCAUUGGAAACUGGGAAACUUGAGUGCAGAAGAGGAGAGUGGAAAUCCACGUGUAGCGGUGAAAUGCGUAGAGAUGUGGAGGAACACCAGUGGCGAAGGCGACUCUCUGGUCUGUAACUGACGCUGAGGAGCGAAAGCGUGGGGAGCGAACAGGAUUAGAUACCCCCGUAGUCCCUGUCUCUUAUAC